UACCAGCCGGGGAAUUAGCGGUGCCUUGUACCUGCAAUCCGCUGCAGCAGGGGUGGAUUCCUUUGAUGAGGGCUGAUUCUGUGUGGUCUGCACGACGUUUUUCACGUGUUGACGGAUGGGUCUUGCGCAAUCGGACGCCGUGAACCAUGUCAGGUGGGGAACCAAGCAGCAUUAAGCGGUCACUCCGAUGUGCCGCGAGGUCGCCUGUCCCGAGCGUGGGGCGUCGUUCACGCACAUGGGCGCGGUUCGAGUCAGAGGUG
Molecule: signal recognition particle RNA, 260 nt
Filed under: human gut metagenome
Also listed under: 1 other name
Description: Bacterial large signal recognition particle RNA
Rfam family: Bacterial large signal recognition particle RNA
About the family: The signal recognition particle (SRP) is a universally conserved ribonucleoprotein involved in the co-translational targeting of proteins to membranes.
Source: RNAcentral